RNAcentral lists this ribosomal RNA (1003 nucleotides) under Rhodobacter capsulatus. Its description in RNAcentral is "bacterial SSU rRNA". It matches the Rfam family "Bacterial small subunit ribosomal RNA", at positions 470 to 1479 of the family's 1533-position model. Lineage: Bacteria; Pseudomonadati; Pseudomonadota; Alphaproteobacteria; Rhodobacterales. The record is from RNAcentral.
UGACGGUAUGUGCAGUAAAAGCACCGGCUAACUACGUGCCAGCAGCCGCGGUAAUACGUAGGGUGCAAGCGUUAAUGGGAAUUACUGGGCGUAAAGCGUGUGUAGGCGGUUGGGAAAGAAAGAUGUGAAAUCCCAGGGCUCUAGGAUGGAACUGCAUUUUUAACUGCCGAGCUAGAGUAUGUCAGAGGGGGGUAGAAUUCCACGUGUAGCAGUGAAAUGCGUAGAUAUGUGGAGGAAUACCGAGGCGAAGGCAGGCCCCUGGGAUAAUACUGACGCUCAGACACGAAAGCGUGGGGAGCAAACAGGAUUAGAUACCCUGGUAGUCCACGCCCUAAACGAUGUCAACUAGCUGUUGGGGCCGUUAGGCCUUAGUAGCGCAGCUAACGCGUGAAGUUGACCGCCUGGGGAGUACGGUCGCAAGAUUAAAACUCAAAGGAAUUGACGGGGACCCGCACAAGCGGUGGAUGAUGUGGAUUAAUUCGAUGCAACGCGAAAAACCUUACCUACCCUUGACAUGUGUGGAAAGCCGAAGAGAUUUGGCUGUGCUCGCAAGAGAACCGGAACACAGGUGCUGCAUGGCUGUCGUCAGCUCGUGUCGUGAGAUGUUGGGUUAAGUCCCGCAACGAGCGCAACCCUUGUCAUUAGUUGCUACGCAAGAGCACUCUAAUGAGACUGCCGGUGACAAACCGGAGGAAGGUGGGGAUGACGUCAAGUCCUCAUGGCCCUUAUGGGUAGGGCUUCACACGUCAUACAAUGGUCGGGACAGAGGGUCGCCAACCCGCGAGGGGGAGCCAAUCUCAGAAACCCGAUCGUAGUCCGGAUCGCAGUCUGCAACUCGACUGCGUGAAGUCGGAAUCGCUAGUAAUCGCGGAUCAGAAUGUCGCGGUGAAUACGUUCCCGGGUCUUGUACACACCGCCCGUCACACCAUGGGAGUGGGUUUCACCAGAAGUAGGUAGCCUAACCGGAAGGAGGGCGCUUACCACGGUGGGAUUCAUGACUGGG